GAUUUUUAUAUAAAUUGGUAUUGCAUAUCAUUUAAAAAAAAUUUUAUAAUAUAUAAAAAAUAAAAUUAAAAGGUAGAAAAAUUUUAUUAUUUUUAUUGUUUCAUAAUAAAAAUUAUAAUUUUUAGGGUUGAAAAGUCGACUUUUAAGAUAUUUGUUUAGUCAUAGUUUAAUUAGAAAUUUAUUAGUUUAAAAUUUUUAUAUUUAUAAAAAGUAAGGGUUAAAGUAUCUAUUUUACUAGUUUUAUAACAGUUUAUUUAAUUAUUUUUAUAAUUGAGUAUUUAAUGUAUGUAAUAAAAUUUUAUUGCAUAAAUUAUUUUAAAAUAAGUAGUUUUAGUAAAUUUAAUAAUUUUUUUUUAUUUUACUAGUUUUAUAACAGUUUAUUUAAUUAUUUUUAUAAUUGAGUAUUUAAUGUAUGUAAUAAAAUUUUAUUGCAUAAAUUAUUUUAAAAUAAGUAGUUUUAGUAAAUUUAAUAAUUUUUUUUUUAAAUUAAUCAAAAAACUCAAAAAUUAAUCAAAUGUUUAUUAAAGACUUAGACUUUUAAAUAAAGUUUGCUUCUGCCCAAUGAUAAUAUUUAAAUGGCAGUCUUAGCGUGAGGACAUUAAGGUAGCAAAAUAAUUUGUGCUUUUAUUGAGUUCCAGUAUGAAUGAAGUUAUUGGUUAAUUUAUUUUUUGAUUUUUAAAUGAAUUUAUAAUUAGUUAUAAAAAAUUAUUAGUAUAAUAAUACAAAGAUAAGUCUUCGGAAAUUCUUUUUUAAUUUUAACGUGUAGUUAUUAAUUAAAAAUUUUCUAGGGCAGAAUUUUAUAUAAUUAUUUUAUCUAUUAAUAAUUUAAGGAAUUACUCCGGAGUUAACAGAAAAUCAUAUCUAAUCUAGUACUUAUAGUAAGAUAAGUUUUACAUCGAUGUUGUAUUUAAGUAAAUUAAAAAAGGAGAAGAUUUAAAAUUUAAGACUGUUCUUCUUUUAAUUAACUUAACGUGAUAUUAGUUUAAUUCAUUGUGAGAUAGAAUUGUUUAUCUUGUUUAUUAUUAAAUAUUAAUAUUAAUAGUACGAAAGGAAAAUUAAAAAAAAUUUGAAAUUUUAAAAGUUUUUUGCUU
This 1091-nucleotide ribosomal RNA is filed under the name Macropostrongyloides woodi. RNAcentral's name for it is "16S ribosomal RNA". Lineage: Eukaryota; Metazoa; Nematoda; Chromadorea; Rhabditida; Strongylidae. The record is from RNAcentral.